AAUCCUCUGGAUCAUCCUCUCCCUCAGAAAAGACAGAGGGGCUUGAAAAACCAGUUGAGCUUGCAUCAGUCUUACUUUUUCGAGCAAACUUCAGAAGCCGCUUCAAACCUUUAGGUUCACCUUUCUGAUAGAUCAUGGUUGGUGGAUUCUCAGCAUUACCCCAGUCAAUUACAUCAGCUUCACCGUUGUCUUCGAGCAGCAUUUGAGAAAGAGAAUGACGAACUCGUGGACUUGAGACUCUUACAGGUGCAACAUCACCCAAAGAAUCAUUAUUACAUAAAUCACCAUUACUUGGAAAAGACUUAGCCUCGAGCUCCUCUAUUUCCACCCAGGCACUAGGUGAG
RNAcentral lists this unclassified non-coding RNA (344 nucleotides) under Hevea brasiliensis (rubber tree). Lineage: Eukaryota; Viridiplantae; Streptophyta; Magnoliopsida; Malpighiales; Euphorbiaceae. The record is from RNAcentral.